This 468-nucleotide ribosomal RNA is filed under the name uncultured bacterium. Its description in RNAcentral is "partial 16S ribosomal RNA". It matches the Rfam family "Bacterial small subunit ribosomal RNA", at positions 28 to 507 of the family's 1533-position model. The record is from RNAcentral.
GACGAACGCUGGCGGCGUGCUUAACACAUGCAAGUCGAACGGAAAGGCCCUGCUUUUGUGGGGUGCUCGAGUGGCGAACGGGUGAGUAACACGUGAGUAACCUGCCCUUGACUUUGGGAUAACUUCAGGAAACUGGGGCUAAUACCGGAUAGGAGCUCCUGCUGCAUGGUGGGGGUUGGAAAGUUUCGGCGGUUGGGGAUGGACUCGCGGCUUAUCAGCUUGUUGGUUGGGUAGUGGCUUACCAAGGCUUUGACGGGUAGCCGGCCUGAGAGGGUGACCGGCCACAUUGGGACUGAGAUACGGCCCAGACUCCUACGGGAGGCAGCAGUGGGGAAUAUUGCACAGUGGGCGGAAGCCUGAUGCAGCAACGCCGCGUGCGGGAUGACGGCCUUCGGGUUGUAAACCGCUUUCGCCUGUGACGAAGCGUGAGUGACGGUAAUGGGUAAAGAAGCACCGGCUAACUACGUG